Molecule: transfer RNA, 65 nt
Filed under: Dipodomys ordii (Ord's kangaroo rat)
Lineage: Eukaryota; Metazoa; Chordata; Mammalia; Rodentia; Heteromyidae
Rfam family: tRNA
About the family: Transfer RNA (tRNA) molecules are approximately 80 nucleotides in length. Their secondary structure includes four short double-helical elements and three loops (D, anti-codon, and T loops). Further hydrogen bonds mediate the characteristic L-shaped molecular structure. tRNAs have two regions of fundamental functional importance: the anti-codon, which is responsible for specific mRNA codon recognition, and the 3' end, to which the tRNAs corresponding amino acid is attached (by aminoacyl-tRNA synthetases). tRNAs cope with the degeneracy of the genetic code in two manners: having more than one tRNA (with a specific anti-codon) for a particular amino acid; and 'wobble' base-pairing, i.e. permitting non-standard base-pairing at the 3rd anti-codon position.
Source: Rfam by way of RNAcentral
GGUGGCUCAGUGGUAGAGCGCUUGCCUUACAUGCCUGAGAUCCUGGGUUCAAUUCCUCAGCACCA